Molecule: ribosomal RNA, 253 nt
Filed under: uncultured bacterium
Lineage: Bacteria
Description: partial 16S ribosomal RNA
Rfam family: Bacterial small subunit ribosomal RNA
Source: RNAcentral
UACGAAGGGGGCUAGCGUUGCUCGGAAUCACUGGGCGUAAAGGGUGCGUAGGCGGGUCUUUAAGUCAGGGGGGAAAUCCUGGAGCUCAACUCCAGAACUGCCUUUGAUACUGAAGAUCUUGAGUUCGGGAGAGGUGAGUGGAACUGCGAGUGUAGAGGUGAAAUUCGUAGAUAUUCGCAAGAACACCAGUGGCGAAGGCGGCUCUCUGGUACGUGACUGACGCUGAGACGCGAAAGCGUGGGGAGCAAACAGG